RNAcentral lists this ribosomal RNA (471 nucleotides) under uncultured bacterium. RNAcentral describes it as "bacterial SSU rRNA". It matches the Rfam family "Bacterial small subunit ribosomal RNA", at positions 8 to 526 of the family's 1533-position model. The record is from RNAcentral.
AGGGUUUGAUUAUGGCUCAGGAUGAACGCUGGCGGCGUGCUUAACACAUGCAAGUCGAACGAACCUUCGGGUUAGUGGCGGACGGGUGAGUAACGCGUGAGAAUCUGCCCUCAGGAGGGGGAUAACGGUUGGAAACGACCGCUAAUACCCCAUAUGCCGAUAGGUGAAAUGAAUUUCGCCUGAGGAUGAGCUCGCGUCUGAUUAGCUUGUUGGUGAGGUAAUGGCUCACCAAGGCUUCGAUCAGUAGCUGGUCUGAGAGGAUGAUCAGCCACACUGGGACUGAGGCACGGCCCAGACUCCUACGGGAGGCAGCAGUGGGGAAUUUUCCGCAAUGGGCGAAAGCCUGACGGAGCAACGCCGCGUGAGGGACGAAGGCCUCUGGGCUGUAAACCUCUUUUCUCAAGGAAGAAGAUAUGACGGUACUUGAGGAAUAAGCCACGGCUAAUUCCGUGCCAGCAGCCGCGGUAAUAC